Molecule: ribosomal RNA, 1283 nt
Filed under: Hemipeplus sp. HEM01
Lineage: Eukaryota; Metazoa; Arthropoda; Insecta; Coleoptera; Mycteridae
Description: 16S ribosomal RNA
Source: RNAcentral
AAUUUUGAUUUUAUUAAAUUUAUGAUUUUUACUUUAGGUUUUUAAAGAUUUAUAUUUUUUAUUAAUUUAAAUAAAAAAUUUAAUUAAUUAUAGUGAAAAGUAUCGUUAGAGAAUAAUUUUAUUUGUUAAUAAGAAUAAUUUAUUUUUAGUACCUUGUGUAUCAGGGUUUAUUAAAUUAAUUUAAAGGUUUUUAUUUUCUCGAAUUUUAAAGAGUUAAGUUUAAAUAUUUGUUUUUGUUAAAUAAAAAUUAUAAAUUUAAACUUGGCAAUGAAACGUUAUUCGUUUUUUAAUAUAUCUAGUUUUUUAAGAAAGAAAUUGAAUUUUUUUAGCUGAGUUAAAUUGGAUUUUUUGUAUUGAUUUAUGGGGCUAGGUAAUAAUUUAAGGGAUAAGCUUUGAAUUAAAAUUUUAUAAAUAAUUAUAUUUACUAAUAAGAAAUAGGAUUAGAAUUUUCAAUUUUUAAAAGAAUGUUAUAAUUGAUUAUUUAUUUGUUGGAAUUUAUAUUUUUUUAAUUUAUUUAUUAAAAUAAUGGUUUAAAUUUUAAAUAUUAUGAAAUAAUGAUAGAAUUAGUAUAUUUUAAUUAAAAAUUAAUUUAAAUCUGGGUGAUAAUUUUAAGGAAUUCGGCAAAAGUUCUCUUACCUGUUUAAUAAAAACAUGUCCUUUAUGAAUAUAAUUUAAGGUCUGGCCUGCUCUAUGAUUAGAUAAAAUUAAAUGGCCGCAGUAUCUUGACUGUGCAAAGGUAGCAUAAUCAUUAGUUUUUUAAUUGGAAGCUGGAAUGAAAGGUUUGAUAAGGAGAAAACUGUCUCAGAAUUAAAUUUAUAAUUUUAUUUUUAAGUUAAAAAGCUUAAAUUUUUUAAAAAGACGAGAAGACCCUAUAGAGUUUAAUAUUGGUUGGAUGAAAUUUUUUAUGGGUUUAAAAUUAUUUUUUGUUGAAUUAAUAUUUUGUUGGGGUGAUGUAAAAAUUUGAUUAACUUUUUAUUUUAUUAGACAUUGAUUUGUGAAUGCUUGAUCCUAAAAUUUAGAUUAUAAGAAAAAAUUUNNNNNNNNNNNNNNNNNAAUUUUUUUAGAGAGUUCAAAUCGAUAAAAAAGAUUGCGACCUCGAUGUUGGAUUAAAAUUUAAAUUUGGUGUAGAAGCUAAAUGACUAGGUCUGUUCGACCUUGAAAAUUUUACAUGAUCUGAGUUUAAACCGGCGUGAGCCAGGUUGGUUUCUAUCUUUUAAUUAAUAAAAUAUUUUAGUACGAAAGGACCAAAUAUUUGAAUAAAAUUUUUUGUUUUGAAUAUUAAU